UCCAGGUUAUCCCUGGCGGUCUCCUAUGAGUCCCCACCAUCACGUGCUGGCAACAUAGGACGAGGGUUGCGCUCGUUGCGGGACUUAACCCAACAUCUCACGACACGAGCUGACGACAACCAUGCACCACCUGUGCACGGCCCUUACGGACCCCCCAUCUCUGGAGGAUUUCCGUGCAUGUCAAGCCUAGGUAAGGUUCUUCGCGUUGCAUCGAAUUAAGCAACAUGCUCCGCCGCUUGUGCGGGCCCCCGUCAAUUCCUUUGAGUUUUAGCCUUGCGGCCGUACUCCCCAGGCGGGGCGCCUAAUGCGUUAGCUGCGGCACGGAAUCCGUGGAAGGACCCCACACCUAGCGCCCAACGUUUACGGCGUGGACUAC
This 376-nucleotide unclassified non-coding RNA is filed under the name uncultured Geodermatophilaceae bacterium. RNAcentral's name for it is "contains 16S-23S intergenic spacer region". The record is from RNAcentral. Lineage: Bacteria; Bacillati; Actinomycetota; Actinomycetes; Geodermatophilales; Geodermatophilaceae.